This 497-nucleotide ribosomal RNA is filed under the name uncultured bacterium. RNAcentral's name for it is "partial 16S ribosomal RNA". It matches the Rfam family "Bacterial small subunit ribosomal RNA", at positions 28 to 507 of the family's 1533-position model. The record is from RNAcentral.
GAUGAACGCUGGCGGCGUGCCUAAUACAUGCAAGUCGAGCGAACAGAUGAGGAGCUUGCUCCUCUGACGUUAGCGGCGGACGGGUGAGUAACACGUGGAUAACCUACCUAUAAGACUGGGAUAACUUCGGGAAACCGGAGCUAAUACCGGAUAAUAUAUUGAACCGCAUGGUUCAAUAGUGAAAGACGGUUUUGCUGUCACUUAUAGAUGGAUCCGCGCCGCAUUAGCUAGUUGGUAAGGUAACGGCUUACCAAGGCAACGAUGCGUAGCCGACCUGAGAGGGUGGUCGGCCACACUGGAGCUGAGACACGGUCCAGACUCCUACGGGAGGCAGCAGUAGGGAAUCUUCCGCAAUGGGCGAAAGCCUGACGGAGCAACGCCGCGUGAGUGAUGAAGGUCUUCGGAUCGUAAAACUCUGUUAUUAGGGGAGAACAAAUGUGUAAGUAACUGUGCACGUCUUGACGGUACCUAAUCAGAAAGCCACGGCUAACUACGUG